RNAcentral lists this long non-coding RNA (820 nucleotides) under Elaeis guineensis (African oil palm). RNAcentral's name for it is "long non-coding RNA (EGUI_LNC074685)". The record is from RNAcentral. Lineage: Eukaryota; Viridiplantae; Streptophyta; Magnoliopsida; Arecales; Arecaceae.
UUUUAUGUCAAAUUUUGACAAUGAUUUCGGAUGCUUUUUGGACCAGAACAUUUUAUGGUCUUUAACUGUUUGAUUCUUAAAGUAGCGAUACUAUAUUACUAAAUUUUAUCACGUGAGUCAAGACAAGUGCCUUUCUAUUUGCAUGUGUUUUGUGAAUGCCUUAAAAUCUCUUUCGUCAUUCUGUUCACUUGUAAUGUUUGUUACAUAAAGACUUCAUAAAGACUAAUGGACAUGUGCUUUGAUUUAAUAGAACUUCAGAGAGAUAAAUGCAAAUAAUUCAUCAAUUCAUGAAGUUCUAGUUUAAUGUUCAGGUUAAGAGCUAGUCAUAAAUGCUUUCAAAGUUUGGUGGCUGAUGAAUUUGGAUCUAGAGUUCAAAGAGGAACUGCCUCUUUUUCCUUGUCAUUUUAGACAAAUCAGUCUUGGAAGGUGUUGAGAUACUGAGAUCAUUUAUCAUUUCUAUCUCUACUUUAUGUGUCAUUCUCUUUGGAAGUUAUUGUUACAAGAAGAGCAUUGGUGGCUCUUUUCUGGCAUCAAUUGGUAUGAAAGCUUUUACAUUAAACUUUUAGUUGGCUGCUCAAAUCCUAAAUAUCAACCCCUUUUAUUGCCUUACUUCGUUAUACAUUCAUUUAAAAGCUUGGAGGUCAAUUUUGAGCAUGAUGUAAUUCCAGAUGAUUUAUUUUUAUCUUAGAUUAGAUGUGUCUAACUUGGACUUGAGCUCUUGCAAUUAAUUGUGAUUCAGCCUCAACCUUAUGUAUUGGUUCAAUUUGGCUUAGAUCAGCCAACAUCAUUCCAUACUUUUUUAAUGGAUAGAGAAAAUAAU